Molecule: ribosomal RNA, 497 nt
Filed under: uncultured bacterium
Lineage: Bacteria
Description: partial 16S ribosomal RNA
Rfam family: Bacterial small subunit ribosomal RNA
Source: RNAcentral
GAUGAACGCUGGCGGCGUGCCUAAUACAUGCAAGUCGAGCGAACAGACGAGGAGCUUGCUCCUCUGACGUUAGCGGCGGACGGGUGAGUAACACGUGGAUAACCUACCUAUAAGACUAGGAUAACUUCGGGAAACCGGAGCUAAUACCGGAUAACAUGUUGAACCGCAUGGUUCAACAGUGAAAGACGGUUUUGCUGUCACUUAUAGAUGGAUCCGCGCCGCAUUAGCUAGUUGGUAAGGUAACGGCUUACCAAGGCAACGAUGCGUAGCCGACCUGAGAGGGUGAUCGGCCACACUGGAACUGAGACACGGUCCAGACUCCUACGGGAGGCAGCAGUAGGGAAUCUUCCGCAAUGGGCGAAAGCCUGACGGAGCAACGCCGCGGGAGUGAAGAAGGUCUUCGGAUCGUAAAACUCUGUUAUUAGGGAAGAACAAAUGUGUAAGUAACUAUGCACGUCUUGACGGUACCUAAUCAGAAAGCCACGGCUAACUACGUG